Molecule: ribosomal RNA, 493 nt
Filed under: uncultured bacterium
Lineage: Bacteria
Description: partial 16S ribosomal RNA
Rfam family: Bacterial small subunit ribosomal RNA
Source: RNAcentral
AACGAACGCUGGCGGCGUGCUUAACACAUGCAAGUCGAACGGUGAAGCGCCUUCCUUUUUGGUGGGUGUGGAUGAGUGGCGAACGGGUGAGUAACACGUGAGUAACCUGCCCCCUUCUUCUGGAUAACCGCAUGAAAGUGUGGCUAAUACGGGAUAUUCUGGGUCUGUCGCAUGAUGGGUCUGGGAAAGAUAUUGUUUCGGUGGGGGAUGGGCUCGCGGCCUAUCAGCUUGUUGGUGGGGUGAUGGCCUACCAAGGCGGUGACGGGUAGCCGGCCUGAGAGGGUGGACGGUCACACUGGGACUGAGACACGGCCCAGACUCCUACGGGAGGCAGCAGUGGGGAAUAUUGCACAAUGGGCGCAAGCCUGAUGCAGCGACGCCGCGUGAGGGAUGGAGGCCUUCGGGUUGUGAACCUCUUUCGCCAGUGAAGCAGGCCUGCCUCGUUUGUGGGUGGGUUGACGGUAGCUGGAUAAGAAGCGCCGGCUAACUACGU